GAGGGUAAAUAUUUGAUCAAAUUGAUUUAUUUAUAUUAGAGUUAAGCAAACUAAUUGAUUUUUAUAACCAAUGGUUUAAUUAAACUAUGAUUUAUAUUAUGAUAUUAAUACCUUAAGUUUAACUUUAUAAUUAGAGUUUAAGCUCCAUUAAUUGGUUAUUUAGUGAUUAAAUGAUUAUGGGUAAAUCAAGUAAUUUUAUAAGGUUUAUUAAAGGUUAUUAAUACUUGAAUAAAGCUUAGUUUUGAUUAUUGGGAAUUAAUCAAUGGAAUUUAAGAUUAAAUUCGUAUUUAAUUUUAUUGGUUUAAAAUGAACUUGGAGAUUCUGUAAUUUAAUUGAAAUAAUAGAAGUAAUGUGAUCAUAAUCAUAUAUUUAUUUUAUAUGACAUUCCAGAACUUUAAACUUUCAUAUUUAUUAGUUUAAAAGGUUUUAAUUGAAUUGUUAAGUUUUCUAGCUUUAUAUUAAAUUGAGAAAAAUAUUUAUAAUGUUCAAUUAUUCAUUUAAAAAUUAUUUCAGCUAUAAACAAAUUGAUGAUUUAUUUAAUGAUCAGACUUGGGGAAUUUAAUUUAUCAAUUUUAGUACUUAAAUCAUUUUUAUAAGUUUUUAUGAAUUUAUUAACUAUUUAAUUGAUAAAAAGGGUAAAACGGUAACUUCACAUACCUUAAGGUUAUUUUUGUAAUUUUGAUAAACUUAAGGACUUCUGAAGAAUCACCUAUAAAUACAAGGACUUAAGUGAAUAGUAUCUUUAUUAUUUACUUAAAAAUUAAAAAGAGUUAUUAUUUAAUAUUAUGCAGCGUUGACUGGCGGUUCAGUUCGAUACCUCUCGUGGUAAAAGGUCAUCAGAGUGCGUAGCGGAAGCAUAAUGAAUCUUUCAGUAAUGGAUAAAAGUCAGAGAAGAUUGUCUUCUCAUAUUUUCUGUAAUAAAAGUCACGAUCGCGAUCGAUCCUAGAGUUGACGUUCGUACAAAUUUUUGUACUACUAUUAUUACUCGGGUUAAUGGGUAUUAUAUCCUAUCGUUAUACUCACGUUAAUUC
Long non-coding RNA from Lotus japonicus, 1031 nucleotides. RefSeq lists it as uncharacterized. Lineage: Eukaryota; Viridiplantae; Streptophyta; Magnoliopsida; Fabales; Fabaceae. The record is from RefSeq and is a predicted model, not a curated record. The transcript has 2 exons.